Molecule: long non-coding RNA, 769 nt
Filed under: Homo sapiens (human)
Lineage: Eukaryota; Metazoa; Chordata; Mammalia; Primates; Hominidae
Description: non-protein coding lnc-HNRNPA2B1-12:1
Source: RNAcentral
UUCCAAUUUCUUGAACAGCUUUAAGAGUAUUCACAUAUUCUAUCUCUUUCUGAGUCAAUUGUAAAUAGUUUUCUUCCAGAAUUCAUUCAUUUCAUUUAAAAUUUCAAAUUUAUUGUUGUAAAGUUCUUUAUAACAUCCUCUUAAUAUGUUUUCAGUGUCUGGUGUUGAAGAUUCAGUGCCAUGUAUGAAUGACAAAUCAAUCUCUGUCAAUUACAUAACUGUAAUUGUAGGAUUGCAAUGGUAAUUUGGGUAGGAUUUUUGAUUUAUUUAGUCUGCUAUUUCUCCUUCUUUAAGUCAGACCACAAAAAUGCUCACUCUCCCAGGCUACAGAGAAAACAUGAAGGCCCUGUCCGUGGUCUAUGUGAAGACAGCGAGAAAUGGAAAUGUGACUGGACAGAAGGCAGAUGCUGCAUGGUGAACACUUUCUAGAUGGGCGUAUAUGCUGGCUCCAAAUUGUCCAGUGCUGUGGGCUUGGUAUUUGUGACGGACCAACAAGUGUGCACAGACUUCUUUGGAGCAUCAGGCUGGGGAAGAACAAGGGUUUUUGAAUUCAGAAGACCUAAAAUUAAAUCCUACUCUGGCACUUUCUGGUUAUCUGACCAUGGGCAAAACUACAACCUCUUUAAGCCUCACUGUUUUCAUUUGUAAAAUUGGAUUCACAGGAUUUAUGGGUAGGAUGAAAUAAAUAGGAAGCUCCUAGAGCUACGUCUGGUCAAAGAGAUAAUCAAUAUAUGUUACUUCCUCCCCCUUGCUUCCCAGUCUCUCAAGU